Molecule: long non-coding RNA, 93 nt
Organism: Egretta garzetta (little egret)
Lineage: Eukaryota; Metazoa; Chordata; Aves; Pelecaniformes; Ardeidae
Exons: 4
Source: RefSeq, a predicted model, not a curated record
CAACCUAACUGAUUCUAUAAUUCUAAGGAAGACCCUAGUAAUUACAGGCCUAUCAGUCUCACUUCAGUUCCUGGUAAAAUUAUGGAGAAGGUU